GACGAGCGCUGGCGGCGUGCUUAACACAUGCAAGUCGAACGGAAAGGCCUGCUUUCCCUUGUGGAUUGCGGGUACUCGAGCGGCGAACGGGUGAGUAACACGUGAGUGAUCUGCCCCCAACUUGGGUAUAAGCCUGGGAAACUGGGUCUAAUUCCCGAUAGGACUGCAGGGUGGUGCCUGUGGUGGAAAACGAUUUUCUAGUGGUUGGGGAUGAGCUCGCGGCCUAUCAGCUUGUUGGUGGGGUAAUGGCCUACCAAGGCGGCGACGGGUAGCCGGCCUGAGAGGGUGGACGGCCACAUUGGGACUGAGAUACGGCCCAGACUCCUACGGGAGGCAGCAGUGGGGAAUAUUGCACAAUGGGCGGAAGCCUGAUGCAGCGACGCCGCGUGGGGGAUGACGGCCUUCGGGUUGUAAACUCCUUUCGACCGCGAGGAAGCCACCUGGUUGGAAGGGUGGUGACGGUAGUGGUAGAAGAAGCACCGGCUAACUACGUG
Molecule: ribosomal RNA, 494 nt
Filed under: uncultured bacterium
Lineage: Bacteria
Description: partial 16S ribosomal RNA
Rfam family: Bacterial small subunit ribosomal RNA
Source: RNAcentral